This is an RNA transcript of Zea mays, 2093 nucleotides long. It is a transcript of the gene named PQ-loop repeat family protein / transmembrane family protein, with no coding region annotated. The record is from RefSeq and is marked predicted. The transcript has 14 exons. NCBI's taxonomy places the organism in Eukaryota, Viridiplantae, Streptophyta, Magnoliopsida, Poales, Poaceae.
GCGGCAGGACCGCAGGAGUCCGAGCCUGUCCCACGAGGCGAGGUCUAACGGGCGGGGCCCCGGCCAGGGUAAUACCGCAGCGGUGACCAGUAGCGGGCAGCCACGCGGCGCAGCGCAACCCCCCCCGAAAGAGAAGGGCCUCUCGAGGGAAGGGCAAGAGCGGCGGCUGGUAAAUAAAGAUCGCGUCGACGCCUCUUCCCCUCCCCCAGACCUCCCCGUCUAGGCUUCGAUUCCGCCCUCCUCGAACCCGCCUUCCUUCCCGUCGUUUUCUCCCCAGCUCCAUCGUCCUCGGGCUCCGGAGAAGGAAGAGCCGCUCUGGCACCAGGUCUUCGAACCUCCCCUGCCCUGCCCCGCCUCGUCUCCCCCUGUCCCCGUCUCGGUCUGUUGCAGGUAUGGGUGUUCUCGGUGGAGCACCUCCUGCAAGCUGCCCAGCGACCCGGCACUGCGCAGAAUGGGCCCGAAUCUACUUGAGGUACUGCUUGUGCAGCCAGAAGGAAGGUGCUGCCCUGGCACUUGGGCUAAUCAGUGUCAUAAGCUGGGGCUUCGCCGAGGUGCCACAGAUAAUGACAAAUUACAGACAGAAGUCAACAGAAGGACUCUCUGUCGCUUUUCUUAUGACCUGGAUUGUUGGGGAUUUGUUUAACCUUGUUGGCUGCUUCCUCGAACCUGCUACUCUGCCAACUCAGAUGUACAUGGCACUGCUAUAUACCAUCACAACUCUAAUUCUUACCGUACAGACGAUAUACUAUAGCCACAUCUACCAUCGUCUUGAAGCAAAAAAAUCCAGGGCAGCUAGCAAGGCUCAAAAGCAUCAACGUGCGGAUGCAUCAUUACGUGAAAGGCUUUUGGGUGCCAAGGACGGUGUGUUAUCCAGAAACAACGGGUCAGAUGCUACAGUCCUUAUUCCAAGCUCACCUAUUCCUGUUAAUGUGAAAUUGGUCGACCAAUACCAUGGAAGCAGCCCCAACACCGACUACUACUACAUGUCAGCAAGAUCUUUGUCCAGGAGUCCAGUGCCAACUGCUGGUACAUGGUUGGGCAGUAAUCGUCAAUCGUUAAUGACUCCUCCACAAACGAAUGAUCAAAGGGGAUCUUUAAUUGGUGAAAUCGCUCCAGCACAUUCUGCACCAUCUACUGUUACAAAAAAUGCCCUCUCAGUGGCACCAUGGAUGGGUCUUCUAUUGGGUACGUGUCUCUUGCACAUUUUGAUUGGAAACACACAUAGGGAGAUGCCAAGUGGAACUGUCAUACCAGUUGGAAGAAGGCUUUUAGUGUUUGUGGAGGGUCAUGGAAAUUCAUCGCUCAGCCAUGGCAAUGGAAGUGAAAUUGGACGCUAUCUUGGUUGGGCUAUGGCAAUAAUUUAUAUGGGUGGGCGCCUUCCCCAGAUUUUGUUAAACAUGCAAAGAGGCCACGCUGAGGGGUUGAAUCCAUUAAUGUUUACCUUUGCUUUACUGGGAAAUUCAACAUAUGUAGGAAGCAUACUUGUAAAUAGCUUGGACUGGUCGAAAGUUGGACCAAAUCUCCCGUGGCUCGUAGACGCUGGAGGAUGUGUUUUGCUGGAUUCUUUUAUCAUUCUUCAGUUCCUUUAUUUCCAUUAUCGGAAGCAAAGGGAGCUUUCAGAUGAGCACGACAAAGCAGAUAAAGCCUGACAGAAAUGGUUUCUUCUUCAGUACAAAGGUCUGGUUCUCCUAUUAUGAACAUUUGUUAUGCUGCACUGUAGUUGUGGUCUGAUGGGAACCCUUGUACAGAAUUCGCAAUUUUGAGUAUAAUAACUGAAGCUGAAAUGAGUACCUCAUACAACUGGCUCUGGGUAGCAGCAUCAUUCUUACGUGAAGAGCACCACUCAUACUCAGGAGUCGGGACAGAUUUGGAGCGUCAUUUCACUGGUUGCUGCUUGGGGAGGGUAGUUCUCACGGCGUCAUCUCUUGUGGAGAGGCUUGUGCACUUAAUUUGUCUUGUAGUAUCAAAACGUCUUGUAUAAUAUUAUCACUGUUCUCGAAUAUUGGUUCAUUAUCUCUGUUCUCGAAUAUUUGUUCUCAAAUAUUUGUUACCUGUUAGUUUAUUUUUGAAACGACGGAGGGAAUAUUUAUUUA